UAUGGCCACAUCACGUUGAAACACCAGUUCUCAUACAAUCACCAAAGUUAAGCAGCGUUGAGCCUGGUCAGUACCUAGAUAGUUGAAUGCUUGGGAAUACCAGGUGGUGUA
Acanthosepion pharaonis is the source of this 111-nucleotide non-coding RNA. The record is from the annotation of a GenBank genome assembly. Lineage: Eukaryota; Metazoa; Mollusca; Cephalopoda; Sepiida; Sepiidae.